GAUGAACGCUGGCGGCGUGCCUAAUACAUGCAAGUCGAGCGAACAGACGAGGAGCUUGCUCCUCUGACGUUAGCGGCGGACGGGUGAGUAACACGUGGAUAACCUACCUAUAAGACUGGGAUAACUUCGGGAAACCGGAGCUAAUACCGGAUAAUAUAUUGAACCGCAUGGUUCAAUAGUGAAAGACGGUUUUGCUGUCACUUAUAGAUGGAUCCGCGCCGCAUUAGCUAGUUGGUAAGGUAACGGCUUACCAAGGCAACGAUGCGUAGCCGACCUGAGAGGGUGAUCGGCCACACUGGAACUGAGACACGGUCCAGACUCCUACGGGAGGGAGCAGUAGGGAAUCUUCCGCAAUGGGCGAAAGCCUGAAGGAGCAAAGCCGCGUGAGUGAUGAAGGUCUUCGGAUCGUAAAACUCUGUUAUUAGGGAAGAACAAAUGUGUAAGUAACUAUGCACGUCUUGACGGUACCUAAUCAGAAAGCCACGGCUAACUACGUG
RNAcentral lists this ribosomal RNA (497 nucleotides) under uncultured bacterium. Its description in RNAcentral is "partial 16S ribosomal RNA". It matches the Rfam family "Bacterial small subunit ribosomal RNA", at positions 28 to 507 of the family's 1533-position model. The record is from RNAcentral.